UACGUAGGGCGCAAGCGUUAUCCGGAAUUAUUGGGCGUAAAGAGCUCGUAGGCGGUUUGUCGCGUCUGCCGUGAAAGUCCGGGGCUCAACUCCGGAUCUGCGGUGGGUACGGGCAGACUAGAGUGUGGUAGGGGAGACUGGAAUUCCUGGUGUAGCGGUGAAAUGCGCAGAUAUCAGGAGGAACACCGGUGGCGAAGGCGGGUCUCUGGGCCGUAACUGACGCUGAGGAGCGAAAGCGUGGGGAGCGAACAGG
This 253-nucleotide ribosomal RNA is filed under the name uncultured bacterium. Its description in RNAcentral is "partial 16S ribosomal RNA". It matches the Rfam family "Bacterial small subunit ribosomal RNA", at positions 524 to 776 of the family's 1533-position model. The record is from RNAcentral.